This 497-nucleotide ribosomal RNA is filed under the name uncultured bacterium. RNAcentral's name for it is "partial 16S ribosomal RNA". It matches the Rfam family "Bacterial small subunit ribosomal RNA", at positions 28 to 507 of the family's 1533-position model. The record is from RNAcentral.
GAUGAACGCUGGCGGCGUGCCUAAUACAUGCAAGUCGAGCGAACGGACGAGAAGCUUGCUUCUCUGAUGUUAGCGGCGGACGGGUGAGUAACACGUGGAUAACCUACCUAUAAGACUGGGAUAACUUCGGGAAACCGUAGCUAAUACCGGAUAAUAUUUUGAACCGCAUGGUUCAAAAGUGAAAGACGGUCUUGCUGUCACUUAUAGAUGGAUCCGCGCUGCAUUAGCUAGUUGGUAAGGUAACGGCUUACCAAGGCAACGAUGCAUAGCCGACCUGAGAGGGUAAUCGGCCACACUGGAACUGAGACACGGUCCAGACUCCUACGGGAGGCAGCAGUAGGGAAUCUUCCGCAAUGGGCGAAAGCCUGACGGAGCAACGCCGCGUGAGUGAUGAAGGUCUUCGGAUCGUAAAACUCUGUUAGUAGGGAAGAACAUAUGUGUAAGUAACUGUGCACAUCUUGACGGUACCUAAUCAGAAAGCCACGGCUAACUACGUG